This 253-nucleotide ribosomal RNA is filed under the name uncultured bacterium. RNAcentral's name for it is "partial 16S ribosomal RNA". It matches the Rfam family "Bacterial small subunit ribosomal RNA", at positions 524 to 776 of the family's 1533-position model. The record is from RNAcentral.
UACGAAGGGGGCUAGCGUUGCUCGGAAUCACUGGGCGUAAAGCGCACGUAGGCGGCUUUCUAAGUCAGGGGUGAAAUCCUGGAGCUCAACUCCAGAACUGCCUUUGAUACUGGAGGGCUUGAGUCCGGAAGAGGUGAGUGGAACUCCGAGUGUAGAGGUGAAAUUCGUAGAUAUUCGGAAGGACACCAGUGGCGAAGGCGGCUCACUGGUCCGGUACUGACGCUGAUGUGCGAAAGCGUGGGGAGCAAACAGG